ACUUAAAUUGAAGAGUUUGAUCAUGGCUCAGAUUGAACGCUGGCGGCAGGCCUAACACAUGCAAGUCGAACGGUAACAGGAAGCAGCUUGCUGCUUCGCUGACGAGUGGCGGACGGGUGAGUAAUGUCUGGGAAACUGCCCGAUGGAGGGGGAUAACUACUGGAAACGGUAGCUAAUACCGCAUAAUGUCGAAAGACCAAAGAGGGGGACCUUCGGGCCUCUUGCC
Molecule: ribosomal RNA, 226 nt
Filed under: Vibrio parahaemolyticus
Lineage: Bacteria; Pseudomonadati; Pseudomonadota; Gammaproteobacteria; Vibrionales; Vibrionaceae
Description: partial 16S ribosomal RNA
Rfam family: Bacterial small subunit ribosomal RNA
Source: RNAcentral